GACGAACGCUGGCGGCGUGCCUAACACAUGCAAGUCGAACGAAGAAUGUUUUUCGGAAUAUUCUUAGUGGCGGACGGGUGAGUAACGCGUGAACAAUCUGCCCCGUACAAAGGGAUAGCCUCGGGAAACCGGGAUUAAAACCAUAUAACGCUUUAGUACCGCAUGGUAAUAAAGUCAAAUCGAUUAAGAGGUAUGGGAUGAGUUCGCGUCUGAUUAGCUAGUUGGUGAGGUAAGGGCUCACCAAGGCGACGAUCAGUAGCCGGCCUGAGAGGGUGAACGGCCACACUGGAACUGAGACACGGUCCAGACUCCUACGGGAGGCAGCAGUGGGGAAUAUUGCACAAUGGAGGGAACUCUGAUGCAGCGACGCCGCGUGAGUGAGGAAGGUUUUCGGACUGUAAAGCUCUGUCGAGCGGGAAGAAGUGUACCAUGGCUAAUAUCCAUGAUAUUUGACGGUACCGCUAGAGGAAGCACCGGCUAACUCCGUGCCAGCAGCCGCGGUAA
Molecule: ribosomal RNA, 504 nt
Filed under: uncultured bacterium
Lineage: Bacteria
Description: bacterial SSU rRNA
Rfam family: Bacterial small subunit ribosomal RNA
Source: RNAcentral